RNAcentral lists this ribosomal RNA (253 nucleotides) under uncultured bacterium. RNAcentral's name for it is "partial 16S ribosomal RNA". It matches the Rfam family "Bacterial small subunit ribosomal RNA", at positions 524 to 776 of the family's 1533-position model. The record is from RNAcentral.
GACAGAGGCCUCAAGCGUUAGGCGGAAUUACUGGGCGUAAAGCGCACGUAGGCGGCUUUGUAAGUUAGAGGUGAAAGCCCGGGGCUCAACUCCGGAAUUGCCUUUAAGACUGCAUCGCUAGAAUUGUGGAGAGGUAAGUGGAAUUCCGAGUGUAGAGGUGAAAUUCGUAGAUAUUCGGAAGAACACCAGUGGCGAAGGCGACUUACUGGACACAUAUUGACGCUGAGGUGCGAAAGCGUGGGGAGCAAACAGG